This is a long non-coding RNA of Carassius auratus (goldfish), 1710 nucleotides long. RefSeq lists it as uncharacterized. The record is from RefSeq and is a predicted model, not a curated record. NCBI's taxonomy places the organism in Eukaryota, Metazoa, Chordata, Actinopteri, Cypriniformes, Cyprinidae. The transcript is spliced from 2 exons.
UGCAACGUAAAUGCUGUCUAGGUGGACAGCUCAUAGGGUUUGAGACGCAGCCAAUGUUUUUACAAAUGUUUCCAAAUCUGAUCAAAAGAGUAUCUGCUCACAUCUGAAUGAGCGCCACCAACGCAACACAUUUCAGAUGCAAUUCAUUUCAGGAAUGUCUGUAAACUGCGCGACCACCCUCUUAUUGCAGCAAAGACAAAGCGUGUGAUGCGAGAGAGCAGGACAGUGAAGAGUUAACCAUUACCGCUGUCUUUGGGGAGAUGGUGAUGUAAACCCUAAACCAUGUGACACUUUAAUAAAUCAUACCGCCGACAGAAACAAACACGCACUGUUCCAUCGACAGCCGAACAAAACACUAUUCUCCACGUCUAAACAAAGAUUGCAGGGAGAAACGAGACUAGAGCGCGCACGAGAGGAAACGAUGUGCUGUCUGCCGGUGGAGCAGACUUUAGGUGCGCUCGGAGACUCCGUGUGCGCGCACGGAUGCGCUCCGCUGCCGUUUGCGCACCGACUGCGCUGGAUCGGAGACCAGCUGGAGAAGAGAUGGGCUGCAAACGACAAAAGCUCCGACGGUGGACGACGAGGCGUCGGGGAAAACAUCAUCAAAAGCUUCCACAUAGUGUGCACAGUCAUUCAAGUAACGCUUCUGGUGUUUUUAGUCAAAAAGCGACACCUGUAGGUGAGACGAGGCUCUGCUGAUCUACAGCAACAGAUCUUCAGAUUCUCCUGGGAUGAUCCGCUCCAGAUUUACUGGAGAGGGGAAGGUGCUGAUCACGUCUGCACUCUGUAGAAACUUGCCAUGCAAACAGUGGGUCGAUGUUUUCUCAUCCAUAUAUAUCACAACAUUUGCAGUAGUGUUGUAAGGGAAACACGCAAACACCAGACGCAUCUGUGCUGUACAUUACAAGCGUGCCGAUCACUUUUCAUAACGACCGAUGCUUCAUCCUGAAGUCUUCUUGAUUAUCGAAGCACCACAAGUCAAUGUCAUAAUGGUACGUGUUUGUUUGGUUAGAAGUCUUAAGGUCAGUGCAGUCAAACCCACGGUGUCUCCUGGGAAAUUUUUCAAAAUAAAAGGCUGAUGUCAUUGUCCCUUGGCGUUUGCAAGGAAAUUUUUCUACCACUAUGGCAAUAGGAGCCUUGCCUCAACUUUGAUGAGCUUACUGUUGUUGGUAAAAGUUGAGAGGGUGCUUCGGAUAUGCAAAAGCUGUAAAUGAUUAAAACACGAUCAAUCAAGGUCAAUCUUCAGAGGAGAGCUACCAAAAACACUGCUACCAAAACCUCUCCUCUGCAUGAUGCACUGUAAGAUUUAGUUAUAAGCUACUGUAAGUGACUAUGCCAUUCAAUAUCUGAGCUGUGGUUUUGUUUCUUUGUUGUUUUUAAUGAGAUAUUUAUUAAGUUUUUUUUUUUUUUGUCCUUUACACUGUACUCCUCUCAAUGGAAAGCAUAUUUACACUGUAGAAUGAUUUUAAGUGUAUUUGAACUCGAUGUUUACAAAUGAAAACAACUCUUUUGUUUUCUUUCUUUUGUUUUUUUACUUUUUAUGAAGGGCUUCUGGCUUGAUCGUUUGUGUCAGUGUUAAUAUAGAAAUGUGACAUGAAUGAGAUUUCAUGCGAAAUGUGAAUCAAAGGGCAUGCUACUGAUGUUUACAUAAGCUACAAUCUUUUAUAGUUUAUGUUUCUACCGCGUGUUUUAAACAUGUUUUACCUCUGC